RNAcentral lists this ribosomal RNA (200 nucleotides) under uncultured bacterium. Its description in RNAcentral is "partial 16S ribosomal RNA". It matches the Rfam family "Bacterial small subunit ribosomal RNA", at positions 28 to 228 of the family's 1533-position model. The record is from RNAcentral.
GACGAACGCUGGCGGCGUGGAUUAGGCAUGCAAGUCGAGCGAUAUCUUACCUUCGGGUAAGUGAAAGCGGCGAACGGGUGAGUAACACGUGAAUAACCUGCCCUCACAUUCCGGAUAAUAGACCGAAAGGUCUUGUAAUACGGGCGAGGAUUUCUCUUAGGCAUCUUAGAGAAAGGAAGGCGCAAGCCGUGCGAGGAGGG